This 836-nucleotide ribosomal RNA is filed under the name Pseudomonas fluorescens. RNAcentral's name for it is "bacterial SSU rRNA". It matches the Rfam family "Bacterial small subunit ribosomal RNA", at positions 53 to 886 of the family's 1533-position model. Lineage: Bacteria; Pseudomonadati; Pseudomonadota; Gammaproteobacteria; Pseudomonadales; Pseudomonadaceae. The record is from RNAcentral.
ACCUGCAGUCGAGCGGAUGAAAGGAGCUUGCUCCUGGAUUCAGCGGCGGACGGGUGAGUAAUGCCUAGGAAUCUGCCUGGUAGUGGGGGACAACGUUUCGAAAGGAACGCUAAUACCGCAUACGUCCUACGGGAGAAAGCAGGGGACCUUCGGGCCUUGCGCUAUCAGAUGAGCCUAGGUCGGAUUAGCUAGUUGGUGAGGUAAUGGCUCACCAAGGCGACGAUCCGUAACUGGUCUGAGAGGAUGAUCAGUCACACUGGAACUGAGACACGGUCCAGACUCCUACGGGAGGCAGCAGUGGGGAAUAUUGGACAAUGGGCGAAAGCCUGAUCCAGCCAUGCCGCGUGUGUGAAGAAGGUCUUCGGAUUGUAAAGCACUUUAAGUUGGGAGGAAGGGUUGUAGAUUAAUACUCUGCAAUUUUGACGUUACCGACAGAAUAAGCACCGGCUAACUCUGUGCCAGCAGCCGCGGUAAUACAGAGGGUGCAAGCGUUAAUCGGAAUUACUGGGCGUAAAGCGCGCGUAGGUGGUUCGUUAAGUUGGAUGUGAAAUCCCCGGGCUCAACCUGGGAACUGCAUCCAAAACUGGCGAGCUAGAGUAUGGUAGAGGGUGGUGGAAUUUCCUGUGUAGCGGUGAAAUGCGUAGAUAUAGGAAGGAACACCAGUGGCGAAGGCGACCACCUGGACUGAUACUGACACUGAGGUGCGAAAGCGUGGGGAGCAAACAGGAUUAGAUACCCUGGUAGUCCACGCCGUAAACGAUGUCAACUAGCCGUUGGAAGCCUUGAGCUCUUAGUGCCGCACCUAACGCUUAAGUUGACCGCCUGGGAGUAAUCAG